GCGUAGGGUACGUAGGUGGAUAAUUAAAAAUACAGUUAAAGGCUGAGGUUUAACCUCUUCACUCUGUAUUCACUGGUUAUCUUGAGUUUUGAAGGCAGCUUCUUGAAUUCUUGAAGGAAGGGUGAAAUUGUUGAUAUUGGAAGACAUUCGAAAGCGAAAGCAUGAGCUGAUUCAGAUCUGACACUAGGUACUAAAGUAUGGGGAUAAAUAGGAUUAGAGACCUAGUAGUCCAUACCUUAACCAUGAGUGUUCAACAUCUUUUAGGAGUAUAUUUGAUAUAUUUUUAUUAGGGGUUUAAAGCUAACGCGUGAAACACCGCCUGGGGAAUGUGGCCGCAAGGUUAAACUCAAAGGAAUUGACGGAGACUUAUACAAGG
This 376-nucleotide ribosomal RNA is filed under the name Physarum mutabile. RNAcentral describes it as "SSU rRNA". It matches the Rfam family "Bacterial small subunit ribosomal RNA", at positions 558 to 930 of the family's 1533-position model. Lineage: Eukaryota; Evosea; Eumycetozoa; Physariida; Physaraceae. The record is from RNAcentral.